AGUUUCCUUGUGAUUCAUAAUGUGCAAGAUAAUAGGGGUUGUACAGUGAAUUACAAAACAUGUCGACGUGAGAUGACUCCACGUAUGUGCAAUGACUUUACUUGUAACCCGGAGCAAUUUAACUCAGUCGUGAAUCAUGAGCGUUUAAUCACAGUAACACACCUACAAUUAUAGAGGUCAAAGUCUCUCUUCGUGAGGAAGAAAUACCUUCAUCCACUCUAAAUCUGAAAUGUCUUUAUUGGGAACGUCAGCGAAGUCAUACUUUAUUCAAGAAAUCUGCCAGUUUGACAAUAAUAGCGAAUUGUCAUUGAGCACAGAAACAGGAUGCUUUCAUACAGAGGAAAGAUAAAUUCGGAACAAGUUGUCUUUCUUUACUUCUGACAAUCAGGACUAGUAUCUGAGCCGGAAGUAUAAGCUAAACAGGACAGGCUUUCCAUUUGAAAACAAUAAUUGCAUUCCUUCCUACUGUCCACACUGGGAUAGUCUCGAUUUAGGACCUCUGACGAGAAACCUGA
Pelobates cultripes (western spadefoot toad) is the source of this 515-nucleotide non-coding RNA. Lineage: Eukaryota; Metazoa; Chordata; Amphibia; Anura; Pelobatidae. The record is from the annotation of a GenBank genome assembly.